Molecule: ribosomal RNA, 279 nt
Filed under: uncultured bacterium
Lineage: Bacteria
Description: partial 16S ribosomal RNA
Rfam family: Bacterial small subunit ribosomal RNA
Source: RNAcentral
ACUCCUACGGGAGGCAGCAGUGGGGAAUAUUGGACAAUGGGGGAACCGUAGCAUCCAGCCAUGCCGCGCUGUGUGAAGAAGGCCUUCGGGGUUGUAAAGCACUUUCAGUAGGGAGGAAGGUAGUGUAGUUAACACCUGCACUAUUUGACGUUACCUACAGAAGAAGCACCGGCUAACUCCGUGCCAGCAGCCGCGGUAAUACGGAGGGUGCGAGCGUUAAUCGGAAUUACUGGGCGUAAAGCGCAUGCAGGCGGCCUGUUAAGUCAGAUGUGAAAGCCC